This is a long non-coding RNA of Anolis carolinensis (green anole), 2225 nucleotides long. RefSeq lists it as uncharacterized. The transcript is spliced from 2 exons. The record is from RefSeq and is a predicted model, not a curated record. Lineage: Eukaryota; Metazoa; Chordata; Lepidosauria; Squamata; Anolidae.
CUUACAUGGGGCCAUGCCCAAAACAAUACAAAAUAAACAGCAUAUAAAAACAACACUUCAGAACACAAUGAACAGUACAAUUAAUAAAAUAUCCAUUACAAUACAAAUCAAGGGAACAAUAAAAACAAGGGCGGUCCACAUGAACAUUAAAUUAAAACUCGGGGUGAGAGAAACAUAAAAUAAAACCAUAGCAAUCAGGGUCAAGGAAGUGGUGUAGUCUAGAGGAUAGAUAUUAGAGGGAGCAACAGAAAAGGAAUGUAAAAUAGUUACUCUCCAAAGGCACCACGGAAAAGCCAUGUUUUCAAAUCUUUCUUGAAGGCUACUAAUGUGGGGGCUUGCCUAAUCUCAGUGGGCAGUAAAUUCCAUAGUGUAAAAGGUAAAGGUAAAGGUUUCCCCUGACGUUAAGUCCAGUCAUGUCUGACUCUGGGGGUUGGUGCUCAUCUCCAUUUCUAAGCUGAAGAGCCGGCGUUGUCCGUAGACACCUUCAAGUUCAUGUGGUCGGCAUGACUGCAUGGAGCUCCGUUACCUUCCCGCCAGAGCGGUAUCUAUUGAUCUACUCACAUUGGCAUGUUUUCAAACUGAUAGGUUGGCAGGAGCAUCUUAGUGUAGUCUGUUUUAAAUAUGUAUGAACUGUGUAAGGAAGUGUUACCACCUCAUCAGAUGGGCCGAUUUGCCCGUCAUAUGCUGCUUCACCUCCCUUUUUGGCACAGAACCAUUCACACGAGGUAAAGACACUUCCGUCCCAGCUCCGUGCUGAAAAGGGAGGUGAAGCUGCACUCGCCAUUGCCACAGCCACAGCAACCUGGGGAGCCUUACUGUGUUGCCUUCCUAUUUUGCCUUCCCUUCAAUGGAGGGAAACUGGGAGGCAUCCACAGGAUGAGGAAGAAGGUAAGGUGGGUGAUGCAGGGCAUGGAAAGGUAGUUUCCAUGGAUUCACUCAAAUGUGAUAAGGUCAUUAGUUUGUAUUGAAGAGGAAUACAGAUUUUUCAUACUGGCAACCAAAGUCCGCACAGUCAAAGCAAUGGUAUUCCCCAUAGUAACCUAUGGAUGCGAGAGCGGGGCCAUAAGGAAGGCUGAGUGAAGGAAGAUAGACGCUUUUGAACUCUGGUGCUGGAGGAAAAUCCUGAGAGUGCCUUGGACCGCAAGAAGAUCCAACCAGCCCAUCCUCCAGGAAAUAAUGCCCGGCUGCUCACUGGAGGGAAGGAUAUUAGAGGUAAAGCUGAAGUAUUUUGGCCACAUCAUGAGGAGACAGGAAAGCUUGGAAAAAAUCACGAUGCUGGGGAAAAUGGAAGGAAAAAGAGAGGCCGACCAAGGGCAAGAUGGAUGGACGGUAUCCUUGAAGUGUCUGGCUUGACCUUGAAGGAACUGGGGGCGGUGACAGCCAACAGGGAGCUCUGGCAUGGACUGGUCCAUGAGGUCAUGAAGAGUCGGAGACGACUAAACGACUGAGCAGCAGCAGAAGCAGCUGCUUUUUAUGGGUUAGUACAGCAUAACUUGCUAUUCUUUAAUUCAAGAGGACAUAGUGAAGUGUUGGUGGGUUGGGGAUCCCUAAGUUAUGGUAUGUUUCUGCAAAAGCAGAUUUAGCUUCAGGAGCCCUUUCACACUAUAUAAAUAUGUAGUACUUUAAUACUAGUGUUAUGCUCAUAACAGUCUGCUAAGGAAUUCUGGGUUUGUAGCUUUGUGAGGCAUUAGAGUUCUCUGACUGGGAAUUCUAAGUGUUCUCCACAACUGCAAAUCUCAGGAUUCCAUAAGACAGAACCUAUGCUUUUGUCAGUGUUCUGUGAUAAGGAAAACACGGAUGGAGAUAUUGUAAGCUUGGAUAUGUGAUGGGGGAAGAUCUGACCACUGCUUCCUGGGAAGAGGCUGUGAAAAUAUUGUGGUUGGAUGCAAAUGCAGCCAUCACAUGAUGCAAAGCCACUUCUAGUGGUUGCCCAUGGGACUCGGGUGUGACAGCACAAAGAAAUGGAAAGACGACUGCGCUUUCAGGAGUUAAGUGCUGUCUGACUCCCAACAGAAGAAGCCAGAGAGAAGCCAGAGAGAAGCAGGGAAAGGAAAUGGGAUGACUAGCAUUCCUGAACAUAGAAGGCCGUGGGACCUGACCACAGAGAACAAAAGAAGACAGUUCCCUCCACCUUUUCCUUGCUUUCUCAGCUUUCAUGUGACCAAUCCCAAAUGUCUUAAUAGAAUGUUAAACUUACUAGGUGAUAAACGUUAUUCAAACUUUCA